This 393-nucleotide ribosomal RNA is filed under the name uncultured bacterium. Its description in RNAcentral is "partial 16S ribosomal RNA". It matches the Rfam family "Bacterial small subunit ribosomal RNA", at positions 523 to 918 of the family's 1533-position model. The record is from RNAcentral.
AUACGGAGGAUCCGAGCGUUAUCCGGAUUUAUUGGGUUUAAAGGGUGCGUAGGUGGGCCUGUAAGUCAGUGGUGAAAGUUUGCAGCUUAACUGUAAAAUUGCCGUUGAAACUGCCGGUCUUGAGUGCAAAUGAGGUAAGCGGAAUGUGUUGUGUAGCGGUGAAAUGCUUAGAUAUGACACAGAACACCGAUUGCGAAGGCAGCUUACUGGGAUGCCACUGACACUGAGGCACGAAAGCGUGGGUAUCAAACAGGAUUAGAUACCCUGGUAGUCCACGCAGUAAACGAUGAAUACUAGUUGUCUGCGAUAUAUUGUAGGUGACACAGCGAAAGCGUUAAGUAUUCCACCUAGGGAGUACGUUCGCAAGAAUGAAACUCAAAUGAAUUGACGGGG